CUAAAAUCGGAUGACACAAGGCGAACUAGAAUAGGUUGAUUGAUCCAGGUAGCGACAGGAUCCAAUCGAAAGGAACCGCGCGUACGCUAGAAAGACGUAUAGGCAAGCCUUUCUUUAUGAUCAUAUGGAUCGCUUUUCGUGACUUUUCUUUCCAUAGGCAUAGAUUGCAGUCUAACCAGCUUUCUAACUUUAGGGGACCGAGAAUCAGUCUUUUGAUCCUCCUCUCACAUUCGUUCGAGCUACUUCUAUCCUCGAGCCUACUCUCU
Molecule: long non-coding RNA, 266 nt
Filed under: Nicotiana benthamiana
Lineage: Eukaryota; Viridiplantae; Streptophyta; Magnoliopsida; Solanales; Solanaceae
Description: long non-coding RNA (NBEN_LNC006310)
Source: RNAcentral